This is a non-coding RNA of Ciona intestinalis (vase tunicate), 1525 nucleotides long. NCBI's taxonomy places the organism in Eukaryota, Metazoa, Chordata, Ascidiacea, Phlebobranchia, Cionidae. The record is from RefSeq and is a predicted model, not a curated record.
GCAUCACCAAGAUAAGUUCUUAUGAUGGAUCGGUAAUUCAAACCAAUGGGAGAUUCUUCAACUGCAAGAAGUUGGGUGCUGUGCAUUUGUGAGAAGCGUAUAUAUUGAAGCGUCUAAAAUGUUUAUUAAAUAUGAUCUUCUUCCAGAUGACAGUUUGGGGUUGUUUUCUUGCUUGACAUAAACCAACGUUGAAGAGCUUCAAAUAUAAAGAAUUCGUCUGGAACCAAGAGGCUGGAACUUCUAAGAAUCGCUUCCAUGCAAUCAACGGUAAAGUUUAACCAAUCGGGACUGUCCGCAAGUUCUUCGAUAUUAUCAGAAAUUGCACCAUCUACACAUUUUGCGGAUUAGGUCACGUGCUUGGAUACCGCACAGCAACGCCAUGUUGGGACACAAGCAGUACCGUAUUGCAAUUUAUAGCGUUCCGAAAGGAGAUUAGAGGUUUUUAUUUUAAAAUACUAGCGAUAUACUAAGUCUAAGGCGUUCUAAAUUAAAUAUCUGUAAAGUUUAAUAGUAUUUGGAUUGUUUUUCUUGCAAUAUUUCGUCAAUAAGGCGUUUUUUUAAUAACACCAAAGCCCUCAGACAGUUGUGACCGGUAUACCACAUGGAGAACAAUCAAGGUAAGCUUUCUUCAGACUGCUUAGCAUUUUCUUUAUUUUAUUAUUGUUGGUCAUGUUUGGCUUUAUAAGCUGAGGUUUGUUCUAUCAUAUUUACCUAUUUUGUAUUAGAUGAUUAUUGCGACUUAACUUCUCCGGUUCCAAAUAAGUAGUUUAAAGGAGGAAAUUAUCACUGUUGUGUUCCAAUUUGUAGCGGUAAUAAUCAUUACAACACUUUCUUGUCAUUUCAUUGUAUGCCCAAAGAUGAGCUAAUGCGAAAGCAAUAAGUUGUCAAAAUUAGAAGGAAGGUUGGCCCAAACCUUAAAGUAGGUUCACAUAUUUUUUUAAACAGAGAAAUGCCCCUUCAUGUGACAAAAAUAUGUCUGGUUGUGCAGUGUAUUCAGCUUACACAUGUAUGGAAAUUUUUAGAUAACAUCCAAGACAAGAGUGUGUAGCAAACAUUUCAAGGAAGAAAAUUUCCAUCCUUAUAUAUAAUUCCAACAAUAAUUCGGGGAAACAACUUCUAAAAGAAGGAACAGUGCCCUCUGUAUUUGAUUGGUCAGCAACCACAAAUACAAGGCCAAAAGUUUUAAGACAUAAUGUUUGAUGAAAGGUGUGUAUGUAUGUAGCUAAACCGGGGCAGGUAUCUGAAGUUAGUAUUUCACAAACUUAUUGUUGUUAACACAAACAGAUGAAAAUGAUAUGGAAGCAGAUGAUGCUUAAAACCAACUCCCUAAAUCAAACCCAAAGCAUUUGUGAAGAGCUCCAAGAGACUAAAGCACAGCUAGCUCUUAUGCAAGCCGAACUGACAGCGUCCAGGAGAAGUAGUAGCUGCAAAAGAGGAAUUCCGAGUACAAAAGGAGAAAGCUGCAGCAGAAGUUGUUAUCUACAAAUUUAGUUUGGAAAGACUCUCCACAGAUAAUGAUGCCAUA